GAUGAACGCUGGCGGCGUGCCUAACACAUGCAAGUCGAACGAAGCACCUUACCUGAUUCUUCGGAUGAAAGUUUGGUGACUGAGUGGCGGACGGGUGAGUAACGCGUGGGUAACCUGCCCUGUACAGGGGGAUAACAGCUGGAAACGGCUGCUAAUACCGCAUAAGCGCACGAGGAGACAUCUCCUUGUGUGAAAAACUCCGGUGGUACAGGAUGGGCCCGCGUCUGAUUAGCUGGUUGGCAGGGUAACGGCCUACCAAGGCAACGAUCAGUAGCCGGUCGGAGAGGAUGAACGGCCACAUUGGAACUGAGACACGGUCCAAACUCCUACGGGAGGCAGCAGUGGGGAAUAUUGCACAAUGGGGGAAACCCUGAUGCAGCAACGCCGCGUGAGUGAAGAAGUAUUUCGGUAUGUAAAGCUCUAUCAGCAGGGAAGAUAAUGACGGUACCUGACUAAGAAGCUCCGGCUAAAUACGUG
This 477-nucleotide ribosomal RNA is filed under the name uncultured bacterium. RNAcentral's name for it is "partial 16S ribosomal RNA". It matches the Rfam family "Bacterial small subunit ribosomal RNA", at positions 28 to 507 of the family's 1533-position model. The record is from RNAcentral.